This 904-nucleotide ribosomal RNA is filed under the name uncultured prokaryote. RNAcentral's name for it is "bacterial SSU rRNA". It matches the Rfam family "Bacterial small subunit ribosomal RNA", at positions 535 to 1453 of the family's 1533-position model. The record is from RNAcentral.
CAAGCGUUAUCCGGAUUUAUUGGGUUUAAAGGGUCCGCAGGCGGAACUUUAAGUCAGUGGUGAAAGCCUACAGCUUAACUGUAGAACUGCCAUUGAUACUGAAGUUCUUGAGUGUGGUUGAAGUGGGCGGAAUAUGUCAUGUAGCGGUGAAAUGCAUAGAUAUGACAUGGAACACCAAUUGCGAAAGCAGCUCACUAAACCAUUACUGACGCUCAUGGACGAAAGUGUGGGUAGCGAACAGGAUUAGAUACCCUGGUAGUCCACACCGUAAACUAUGAUCACUAGAUGUUGGCGAUAUAAUGUCAGUGUUAAAGAGAAAUCGUUAAGUGAUCCACCUGGGGAGUACGUUCGCAAGAAUGAAACUCAAAGGAAUUGACGGGGGCCCGCACAAGCGGUGGAGCAUGUGGUUUAAUUCGAUGAUACGCGAGGAACCUUACCAAGGCUUAAAUGUAAAACGACCGGUUGAGAAAUCAAUCUUUUUUCGAACGAUUUACAAGGUGCUGCAUGGUUGUCGUCAGCUCGUGCCGUGAGGUGUCGGGUUAAGUCCCAUAACGAGCGCAACCCCUAUUUUUAGUUACCAGCGAGUAAUGUCGGGAACUCUAAAGAAACUGCCCGUGCAAACGGAGAGGAAGGUGGGGAUGACGUCAAAUCAUCACGGCCCUUAUGUCUUGGGCUACACACGUGCUACAAUGGUUAUUACAAUGAGAUGCAAACUGGUGACAGUAAGCUAAUCUAUAAAAAUAACCUCAGUUCGGAUCGGAGUCUGCAACUCGACUCUGUGAAGUUGGAAUCGCUAGUAAUCGCACAUCAGCCAUGGUGCGGUGAAUACGUUCCCGGGCCUUGUACACACCGCCCGUCAAGCCAUGGAAGUUUGGAAUACUUAAAGUCAGUCACUGUAAAGAAC